UUGAGAACCCCUGGGCUAAUGUGUCUGUACUGUCUCUUUGGAUAGACUGACUUACUAAUCUCUGAGAGUGUCCAGUGAGAAGGACUGGACACUACAGAGAGAUGUCUGUGGGGAACUUGAGAACCGGGGUUCACUGAAUGUUACCUGCAAGGAAAAGUUGAAACUGGUAGAGUCUUGAGGAGUUUGCUGGUAAGGCAGACAGGCUAGUGUGGCAGGGGCUGUCACACAGUUUAAGGUCUAGCAGUACUCUCCCCUGGAGGAAUUCCAGAGGAAUAACACUGGCUUACAGUUCCGGGGUCCCUGAGGAGAAUGCCACAAACGUUCAGUUGUAGUAAGUAAAACAGGUUUACCAAAUGUAUUUACAUUCUAUAAAUGUUUCUCUGGCUAUAACAGUCACUUUUGAGACUUUUCUGGUAAUUUUUUAUUUAUUUUGUGUCUAGUACUUCUCAUGAUGUGCUAGCUAGUGUGCAAACACAAUGAAGACCUGAUCUCUGUUUGAAAAUGCCUGCAAUCUCUGGAAAGAAAAGGAGUGGCAGAAAGAUGAGCUGACAAGUAUAUAAAGAAGACACAGUUGCUCCUGCCAGUUGUUUAAUUUCCCACAGCAUAACACUCCGUAGACUGGAAUCGAGUUUUAAAGGUAUCAAGACAGAAGCUACCAUGAGAGAUCACAGUGGAAAGCUUGGCCUUCAGCGCAGCCAUCACAUUGGCGGAGAGGCUUUUGCAGAUUUAGAAGACAAGAUAAUGAACUCCUCUGGGACAGCUGACAUGGAGCUAAGGAUUUCAUUGUCUGAAAAACUGGACAUGGACAUGGAGAGCAUCUCAGGAGCAUGAGCAUGCCAUGAGGAUGAGAUGCUGUGGAUUAUGAAGGACCAGUCAGACAUGUUGAGGCUUCUGGUUGAGCUUCAAGAAAAACAGUUUGAGGCUAGACUCCCUCUGCAGCCCCUGCAGAACGGCCUGAAGGCAUUGCCCUAUUUCCAAUCCCCCUCCCCGAAACAUUCCAGAAGGCAAGGGGGGGAGGUGCAGUAUCCCUUCCACGCGACACCUGGGGAGGGUACUAAGAACAAAAGGUGGCCACUCAAAGACCUUUGGGCAAGACCUCUAUGUUUACACAGACAAGCUGACUUGGUUUCUCCCCUCUCAACUUUAUCACACCAUUUGCCCAAGGUUAAACUAUUUUCCUGGUCUUUCAGUUUUUUUAUGUUUGUGCAAUAAAGUCAAAGUUUCAAUAAUGAAA
Chelonia mydas (Green sea turtle) is the source of this 1234-nucleotide long non-coding RNA. RefSeq lists it as uncharacterized. The record is from RefSeq and is a predicted model, not a curated record. Lineage: Eukaryota; Metazoa; Chordata; Testudines; Cheloniidae. The transcript has 3 exons.